This is a long non-coding RNA of Salvia miltiorrhiza (redroot sage), 1558 nucleotides long. RefSeq lists it as uncharacterized. The record is from RefSeq and is a predicted model, not a curated record. The transcript has 5 exons. NCBI's taxonomy places the organism in Eukaryota, Viridiplantae, Streptophyta, Magnoliopsida, Lamiales, Lamiaceae.
CCUAACCCCCAAAUUGCUACCCCCUCUCUUCUUCCCUAACUGCAGUGAAGCCUGCCCCCAUCUCGCCACCGCGACCCGCACCGCCUGUGACGCUGCGCCACCCCAUCUCGCCGCCCCUGUCUACAUCACUAACCCUAGGCUCCGCGCUUCCCCUUCUCGCAGCCCCUGUCCUCGUCGCUCACCCUAGGCGCCGCGGUUUCCAUCUCGCCUGUCGUCUGCUAACCCUAGACGCGUUGCCUGGUCCCCGCUGCGCCACCUGCUCUCCGUCGCACAGCCUCCUUCAGCCUCGGCGUCUCCGUCCACAGACUCUGUAGCAGCAGUAGUUUCGAAGACCCAAUCGCUGCAAUUAGAACCCAAUUUCCAAAUAUUUCCAUUUAUUUUGCGAAAUUAAUUAAGGAAAGGGGCAGUUUACUUGAUCUUCGAAAGGCCAUUCUUCUGGAAACUUGAUCAAUGGUUUCAACUCGUCCUCUCUUCCUCUCUCUUCACCUGGAGCCAUUUUCUUCCUCUUCUUCCUCCGCCAAAAUCGUAUCUCUUCCCUUCCAACCCCUCCGUUCCAGAAAGCUGAAGAAUUCUAACCUCCGAAGUUCGUCGGCGAAGGCUAUGUACACUCCAGAGUUUUAUGCCCCGGAGAGGACCUCACGCCAUGGUAUUUAGGGAUGAUUUACAUAUCCCAUCAUCGCCAUACUUCCCAGCUUAUGCUCAAGGGGGCAGCCCCCCCCCCCCCUCCAAUGGUCCAAGAGCGUUUUAUGAGCAUUAUUAGCCAACUUUUCCAACAUGUAAGAUUGUCAUUCGCUUCAUUUUUCAUUAUGGUUUACUAGUCACUCUGUUUCUUCAUUUUAAUUCCAUGAAUGCAAUGAAUUUUUCUUUGACGUCGAGAUAUGUCUGUUGAUUUCCAUGUUCUUCUUUGAACAAAAUGUUGGCUGUAAAUCAUGAUAUUUUAAUGAAUAAAUAUUUUUUGUGUUAGCACUCACUGUGAACAAAAUGUUGGCUGUAAAUUUAUUCAAAAGAAGGAUUUCUGCUGCACUAAAGCAAGUCUUUGGAUACAACAGUGUAACAAAUAAGAGAUGGGAAAUCAUAACACUUCAGAGAUAGUAGGUAUGAUCAUUAAACUUGUGAUAUGAUCUUGUGGAAAAACCGCCUUGAUUUCUUUGUUUCUUAGAAGACGAGGAAGCCAAGAACGAGGCACCGGAAGGACUUAGUCGACCUGAUGUUGUGACAGUAGAGAAGCAGACAGUGGUUCAAAAAAAAUGCAACAGAAGCAGAAGCUGACAAAAUUUCUCCUGUUGAAAUACAUAAAGCACGAACGGCUCGGAUUUAGGGGAAGGAAGAUCCAAGUUGAGAGAUGAAGAGUAAGACCAACUAGAAGAUGAUUUGAGAGCUAAACUCCCUGCUAUCAUUCAAGACCUAAAUCAAAGUAGUCAAAUACUGAGUUCUAAUUACUGUAAAGUUAAUUGACUAAGUUUAUCUUCUUUUUUUUCUUUUUUUUUUUCUUGAGGAUAUCUUUUAUUUAUUAGAAAGACAUGAUUUUAUGAUAUUUCAUAAAUAUGCUUCGCCUCAA